UGUCCCUCUCUUUACCUCUUUUCCAUCCAGUGUUUUCCUUUUCUCUCUCUCUCUUUUCUCCAAUCAAACAAAAAUCAGAAAUAUCAUUAUGUCUCCUGGCUUUGGUUUCCAAAACUCUAACCCCACUGAGAUUAAACUAAAUGCCCCCGAGUGAAACAUCAGGAGAACGAGGAAUAGUUAUUAAACAUGGCGUUUGUCUCAACAAUCAGUGGUUUAAUAAAGAGGAGUUUCUUUUUUUUCUUACACAGCAGGAAGUACUGAGGUAGAGCUUUGUUCUUUGGGUUCAGUGGCUCGUUGAUGUCGAGUUCCGAGUUCUGGUGGGCAGCUCUGAGUUUUUUCUGCUUUCCCAUCUUGGCUGCAGCAAUGCUGUCAGUACCCUACCCAUAACCCCCUUGGCAUGUACCAUGUUCAUGAAUGCGGACCCAGCCUCAAACUGCUGGUGACCUAUCCCACCCACGCUCCUUGCUGAGGCUUCUCUGGCCACUGGAACCUCUGGGAUCAGCAAUCAAGCCAAAGCUGAUGGGAACAGCUGAGUAAAUCCCACUCUUUACCCUUGAAGAGGCAGGGGCUCACUGUGAAGUUAUAUUCUACAUUGCUUCCCAGUGAGAUUAUGCCUCAGUUACCUACAAGGGAACUUGCCUGGUAACUAUCAUUUAUUGGCUUCUUGCCUUUCGCAAUGUCACUUCCCCAAUCCCAAUCCAUGUUGCCUGGGAACAUCUUCCAAACCAACUCCCGAUGCUCAAGGGCUUGUUUCAGAAUCGACUUUGCGGGGAGCUCAAACUAGAACAUGGCCUGAAUGAGGACAGCAACUGAAGCUCUCUCUUCCUGCUUCCCUGACCCGGGCUGAGGAGCUGAUCCUCUCCCCGCAAGCCGAGCCCUCUGCAGACUCCCCUGAUGGCCUAUUGGCCCAGACUGGGUCACGUGGGCUCUCCUGUCGGAGAGGGCCAAGAGCCCGCACCUGGCUCAAGGUGGGUGAGAGAUGCGGGCAGGGCUGGGCCUCGGCUGUGGCUUUACCCAAUGCAUCGGUUUGGAUGAAGCUCAGCAACAAGGGACGGGAAAUCCCAAACAAGAAUGUUGUUUAGACAAGAUAGAAAUGUAUUUCGCUCUCUCCCAUAAAAACGGAGAGGCGGUUGCUGCCUGUUGGUUAGUGGACCCGACUUCUUCGUUGCUCCACGAGGCACGGCUUCCAGUGUCCACACCAGCACGUGGUUUUCGGCGCAGCACGCCCUGUACUCUUGUCUGCAUUACUUCGUAUAAUCCUCUUAAUCUGGGAGUUCGAUCUGCAUCAGGCCACAGUGCCCUGAGAUUUCGUCCGGAUGAUCUUCAUUGGAUUUUGACUGCCCGGCACCCUGCAGUCCCGUCCAUCCCAGCCUCACAGCCUGUUUCAGACCUGAGCACUUCUCACCCGGUCUCCAGGUCUCUACGCCUCUUUCCUCAAGUCCAGCCCUCGCACGGACAAGCAAAAUCCUUUCCUGCUCAAAAGUUUUGUUGGCUUUCUCGAUUACAUGUAGAAUUAAAUACUGAUUAAAAGUGAAAUAAAAUAAUAACAAAUUGAGGGUUUUGUGUGAUACUCUGGUAAGAAUUAAAAAGGAAAGACGGGCCCAUUUGGGUAUUGAUACUGAGAAACAAUUCUCAUACACUGUUAGUGAAAUCAACCAUUUCUUCUGGGAAUAAAUCAAGGAAUAUGGAUCAGUGUUUUAAUGUGCAUGUCCUUUGCCUCAGCAGCUCCCCUUCUGGGAAUUUAACUUAAAAUAAUCUAAGUACAAGGGCACCUCGGUGGCUCAGUGGAUUAAGUGUCUGCCUUUUGCUCGGGUCAUCAAGUACCCGCAUCAGGCUCUCUGCUCAGCAGGGAGCCUGCUUCUCCCUCUCCCACUGCCUGCUGCUCUGCCUACUUGUGUGCUCUUUCUGUCAGAUAGAUAAAUAAAAUCUUUUAAAAAAUAAUAAUAAUCUAAAUACACAAAGAUGUAUACAUAGGAUACAAGGAUCGAAUGUAGCUUUAAAUGGUAAUGACGGAGGACUGGUUAUUUCUUUUCUUUUCUUUUCUUUUUUUUUUUAAGAUUUUAUUUGUUUAUUUGACAGAGAUCACAAGUAGGCAGAGAGAAGGGAGAAGCAGGCUCCCCGCUGAGAAAAGAGCCUGAUACAGGGCUCGAUUCCAGGACCCUGGGAUCAUGACCUGAGCCAAAGACAGAGGCUUUAACCCACUGAGCCACCCAAGCGCCCCUGGUUACUUCUUUAUGAUGUAUUAUACGACAAAGCACUAUGCACCCAUUAAAAUGAUUAUACAGAUUUAUAUUUAUUGACAUGGAAAAUAUCUAUUGUAUAAAACAAUGUGUGGCACAUGGUAGAUGUUCAAUAAAUGUUUAUUGAAUGAAUGAAUGUUUAUAGUAGGUAAAAAAAAAAGUUAUGAAAUGGCAUAUACAUGCUCCUAUUUUUUGUUUUUAAAAAUCCG
Long non-coding RNA from Mustela putorius furo (domestic ferret), 2449 nucleotides. The record is from Ensembl. NCBI's taxonomy places the organism in Eukaryota, Metazoa, Chordata, Mammalia, Carnivora, Mustelidae.